This 396-nucleotide long non-coding RNA is filed under the name Homo sapiens (human). Its description in RNAcentral is "non-protein coding lnc-BRD9-1:3". The record is from RNAcentral. Lineage: Eukaryota; Metazoa; Chordata; Mammalia; Primates; Hominidae.
GAGAAGUAGAGCAAUGCAGGUGACAUUAAUCCUUGCAGAUGGGCUAUCUGAAGAGGAACGGGGACGGGAGCCUGCUCUACAGCGUGGUCAACACGGCCGAGCCGGACGCUGAUGAGGAGGAGACCCACCCGGUGGACUUGAGCUCGCUCUCCAGUAAGCUACUCCCAGGCUUCACCACGCUGGGCUUCAAAGACGAGAGAAGAAACAAAGUCACCUUUCUCUCCAGUGCCACUACUGCGCUUUCGAUGCAGAAUAAUUCAGUAUUUGGCGACUUGAAGUCGGACGAGAUGGAGCUGCUCUACUCAGCCUACGGAGAUGAGACAGGCGUGCAGUGUGCGCUGAGCCUGCAGGAGUUUGUGAAGGAUGCUGGGAGCUACAGCAAGAAAGUGGUGGACG